ACAUCAAACUAAAAAACUUCUACAUAGCAAAGGAAACAAUCAACAGAGUGAAGAGACAACAUAUAGAAUGACAGAAUAUAUUUGCAAGCCAUACAUCCAAUAAGAGGUACAAAAUAUAAAAUAUAAAAGCAACAAAUACAAAGCAAAAAAAAUACAAAAAAAUACAAAAUAUAAAAGCAACUCAAACAACUCAAUAGUAAGAAAACAAAUAACCCAAAUAAAAAAUGGGCAAGGGACCUGAAUAGACAUUUUUCAAAGGAAGACAUAUAGAUAUCCAAUAGUAUAUGAAAAAAUGCUCAAUAACACCAAUCAGGCUGGGCGUUGUGGCUCACGCCUGUAAUCCCAACACUUUGGGAGUCUGAGGUGGGUGGAUCACAAGUCAGGAGCUUGAGAACAGUGUGGCCAAUACGGUGAAACCCCGUCUCUACUAAAAAUACAAAAAUUAGCUGGGUGUGGUGGCGGGCACCUGUAGUCCCAGCUACUCGGGAGACUGAAGCAGAAGAAUCCCUUGAACCCAGGAGGCAGAGGUUGCAGUGAGCCAAGAUCACACCACUGCACUCCAGCCUGGGUGACAGACCGAGACCUCGUCUCAAAACAAAAAACAAAAAACAAAAAACAAAAACCACUAAUCACCAGGGAAACGCAAAUCAAAACCACAAUGAGAUAUAUCACACUUGUUAGAAUGACUACUAUCAAAAAAGAUGAAAGAUAAGUGUUGAGGAUGUGAAGAAAAGGAAACCCUUGUACACUGUUGGUGGGCAUGUAAAUUGGUACAGCCAUUACAGAAAGCAGUAUGAAGCUUCCUCAAAAAAUUAAAAAUUGGACUACAGUACCAUAUGAUCCUGCAAUCCCACUCCUGGGUCUAUAUCCAAAAGAAAUAAAAUCUGUAUGUUGAAGGGACACCUACAAUCCCAUGUUCACUGUAGCAUUAUUCACAAUGUUCAAGAUAUGGAACAACCUAAGUGUCCAUCAAAGGAUGACUGGAUAAAGAAAAUGUGUUAUAUGUACAUAAUGGAAUACUAAUCAGCCUUAGAAAAUAAAAAAAAUCCUCUCAUUUAUGACAACAUGGAUGAACUUGGAGGACAUUUUGUUAAGUGAAAUAAGUCAGGCACAGAAUGACAAAUACCACAUAAUCUCGUAUGUGGAGUAUUUAAAAACUCAAACUUAGCCAGUGGUUAAGUGGCACAUGCCUGUAGUCCAUCUACUCCAGGGGCUGAGGCAGGAUGAUUGCUUAAGUCCAGGAGUUCUGGGCUGUAGUGUGCUAUGCCAAUAGGGUGUCUGCACUAAGUUCAGCAUCAGUAGUAGGUGACCUUUUUGAGAGCAGGGGACCGCUAGGUUUUCUAAGGAGGGGUGAACCAGCCCAGGUCAGAAAUGGAGCAGGUCAAAUAUCCCAUGCUUAUCAGUGGUAGGAUAAGCACUCCAGCCUGGGCAACAUAGUGAGACCCCAUCUCUUUAAAAAAAAAAAACAAAAACCUCAAACUUAACAGAAAUAAGGAAUAAAGUGGUACUUACCAGAGGCUGAGGGAUGGGAGGAUUGGGGAGAUAUUAGUCAAAUGACACAAAAUUUCAGGUAGACAGGAGGAGUAAGUUCAGAAGAUAUAUUGUUCACUUUGUUGACUAUAGUUAAUGACAAUAUAUUAUAUAUUUGAAAAUUGCUGAGAGUAGAUUUUAAAUAUUCUCACCAUAAAAAAAGUAUCUUAGAUUAUAGAUAUUUAGAUGAUGGUUAAUUAGCUUGAUUUAUCCAUUUCACAAUGUAUACACAUAUUAAAACAUCAUGUUGUUGUAUACCACAAAUACAUACAAUUUUUACUGGUCAAUUAAAGUAAAGAAAUAAAUAAUUACAAGUAUUGAAUACUUAGUUUUACUGAUCUCAAGUACUGAAAAUAUGUCAAUACAAAACAUACUGAAAUACCAAAAUACACUGAAAUUAUACUCCAGUAUUUAAAUGACCCUUCAGUUUGGUACUGGAGGCCCUUUAAAUCAGCUUCCCGUCUACAUUUUCCACUAUUUCCAUCCCAGAGAUAGAUGUUUUUCUCUAUGUGUCCUUUUCCAAAUAGACCUUGGAUCUGGCUACCUCGAUUCCUUUUAUCAAGACCCAUUUUCCUAUUUCUAUCUGUAAUGUUUAUAUGAAACAAACACAACUGGUAGAAUGGAAUCUUAAAGCAAAUUCAUUUUUGACUGUCUCUUUACAUCUCCACUGAGGGGCUGUUCUCCUUGACCCUAGGAAAAAACAGAGGUUGCCCCUCAGAGAUAUUAAAGGUACUCAGCCAUUUUUAAAGUCACAAAACAUGGUGGAAAUCAGGAAUUAAAAUGGCAGUCAUAGGUAAGAAUGAUAAUUCUUAACCUUGAAGUUUCUCCUCCUCUCCUCCAGUUUGUACUGGCCACAGGCUAGAAGUCUGAAAUUUGAAAGUGGGUUAGGGGAUAAUCUCAUGAUUCUUCUCCUUUUACCAUCUUUCUAAAGCUGAUUCUGACCACUCUAGGAUCUGGAGCUUAGGAAGGGAGAUCAAUGAAGGAGUACUAGCAAAGUUCUUAGUUGACUGGUGCUGUGCAGGUGAUCAAGUUGGUGCUCUCUGGCCUUUGCAGAUGUUUAAAGCUGAUUGCUCUUUUAAGGGAUUUUCAUGGGUUGCUCUGAGACUCUUCCUUUUCCCCACCUUUCUGCAGCCUUAGGUAUCCAGCAGCAGUUCAUCUCCAGCUUUCCUGUAUUGAGGCUCCUCACUCCUGCAGGAGGUCAUUAUAAACACGGGCUAAGCAACACCACACAACUCCCUUUCCCUCAUGGGCCACAUCUGGUCCAUAGGAAACAUGUUUGUCCAGGAAAACUCUGGGAAUGCAGCCCCUUCCCCAUAACUCAGCACUCUGGAUUUAGAUUUCUCAAGCAUGAACCAGUCAGAAGUCCCCUGUGUCCCUCAAACUUUAGAAGACACAUAUUAAGCUCCACGGAUGGUUCCAUAAAAGUUCUGUCCUUUGGUUUGAUUUAAGGAGCAGAUAUCCCUCCUUCCCACCCCCACCCUCUUUCUCCCCCUUUCUCCUCUCCUCUCCUGUCCUUUCCUCUCUUCUUCUCUCCCCUUUUUCCCCCAUAAUGAGAAGGAUAGAAUUCUUGGAACCCAAUACUUCCCUCCAAAGAAAUCCUUUUCAAAAGUCUUCCUGAUCUCCAAUUCAGCAUCCCUUUACGCCAUCAGUGUGGGUAAUCAUUUAAGAGUUACCAACCCAGGGCUAGGCACGGUGGCUCACGCC
This 3234-nucleotide long non-coding RNA is filed under the name Homo sapiens (human). Its description in RNAcentral is "HSALNT0014431". The stretch from base 1171 to 1453 matches the Rfam family "Metazoan signal recognition particle RNA". Lineage: Eukaryota; Metazoa; Chordata; Mammalia; Primates; Hominidae. The record is from RNAcentral.